This 1574-nucleotide ribosomal RNA is filed under the name Tamiops maritimus (maritime striped squirrel). Its description in RNAcentral is "16S ribosomal RNA". It matches the Rfam family "Bacterial large subunit ribosomal RNA", at positions 371 to 2853 of the family's 2925-position model. The record is from RNAcentral. Lineage: Eukaryota; Metazoa; Chordata; Mammalia; Rodentia; Sciuridae.
ACCAGUACUAGCCCACACAACCCUAACUACACAACAAAUACACAACUACUUAAAACAAAACAUUUACCCCUAUAAAAGUAUAGGAGAUAGAAAUUCUUAAUUGGAGCUAUAGAGCUAGUACCGUAAGGGAAAGAUGAAAGAAACUACUUAUAGUUAAACAAAGCAAAGACUAAACCUUUUACCUUUUGCAUAAUGAAUUAACUAGAAACAACUUCACAAAAAGAAUUUAAGCCAAGAACCCCGAAACCAGACGAGCUACUUAUGAGCAGCUGUAAGAGCUAAUCCGUCUAUGUAGCAAAAUAGUGGAAUGACUUAUAAGUAGAGGUGAAAAGCCUACCGAGCCUGGUGAUAGCUGGUUAUCCAGAUCAGAAUUUCAGUUCAACUCUAAACUAAUUUUAAGCAUCUAAUAAUCCAAACGUAAGUUUAAUUGUUAAUCUAAAGGGGGACAGCUCUUUAGACACAGGGAACAACCUUAAUUAGAGAGUAAAUUCCAUAAUCUCCAUAGUUGGCCUAAAAGCAGCCAUCAAUUAAAAAAGCGUUCAAGCUUAACCCAUCAUACCCAACUUGAUCCAAACAUUCUUCCCUCAUCUCCUAAUUUUACACUGGAUUAAUCUAUAACUAACUAUAGAAGCAAUAAUGUUAAUAUGAGUAACAAGAAAACUUUUCUCCCUGCAUAAGUUUAUACCAACCCGGAUGAUCCACUGGUAGUUAACAAACCUAUAUUUCCAAAUCAAUAAACCUGCCUAAUAUUAUUUACAAUGUUAACCCUACACUGGUAUGCACCUAAGGGAAAGAUUAAACAAAGUAAAAGGAACUCGGCAAACACUAACCCCACCUGUUUACCAAAAACAUCACCUCUAGCAUAAACAGUAUUAGAGGCACUGCCUGCCCAGUGACAUGUUUAACGGCCACGGUAUCCUGAUCAUGCAAAGGUAGCAUAAUCAUUUGUUCCUUCAAUAGGGACUUGCAUGAAUGGUUAAAGGAGGGUUCAUCUGUCUCUUACUUUCAAUCAGUGAAAUUGACCUUCCCGUGAAGAGCGGGAAUCAAUAAAUAAUACGAGAAGACCCUGUGGAGCUUAAAUUGAUUAGCCCAAGUACUACCCACACCGACUCUACAAGAGACAAAUCUACUACCUUUGGAUUAAAAAUUUUAGUUGGGGUGACCUCGGAGUAGAAUUUAACCUCUGAAUGAUCUUAAUCUAGACCAUAACCUGCCUAAAUUUAAAUUCAUACAUUGACCCAAACUAUUGAUCAACGGAACAAGUCACCCCAGGGAUAACAGCGCAAUCCUACCCGAGAGUCCAUAUCGACAGUAGGGUUUACGACCUCGAUGUUGGAUCAGGACAUCCAAAAGGUGCAACCACCAUUAAUGGUUCAUUUGUUCAAAGAUUAAAGUCCUACCUGAUCUGAGUUCAGACCAGAGAAAUCCAGGUCGGUUUCUAUCUAUUAAAAGUUUCUCCCAGUACGAAAGGACAAGAGUAACAAGGCCAAUUCUCACAGCAUGCCUUACAGUAAUAGAUGAUAUAAUCUUAAUCUAAUUAAUAAUUACAUAAUCCUUGCCCUAGAACAGGGCCG